GAUUCAUCAUCAGAAGACGAAGACAGUGUGAAUGGUGGAACACUGGGAAGGAAGGAUUCAACACUUACACGUCCACCACAGACAGCACCACGGACGGCUUCACUCGGUGAGAAAUCGAAAUAAAUUCAAGUUUUCUGGGAAAAUUGAAAAUCGAAACAACAAAGUUCAGAAAAUAAACCAUAAAAUUCAAUUUUUAACCAAUUUUGUGUAUGUUGAUGAAAAAAAAACAAAUAACUUUUAUCUAAAAACUUUUAUCUAAAAAUAACUUUUAUCUAAAAAAAAAUAUACCUCUUUUAUUAUCCAGACGCGAAAUUUUGUGAUUUUUGCACCGAAAAUACGGUAUAUUACAGUAAUCUUUAAAGGCGCACAUCCUUUUGCAUUCAACAGUUUGUCGUGUCGAGACCCGGUACCGUACCUUUGCGCAAAAAUCGCACAGUUUUACGUCUGGGUAAUCUCUUCAUUCCAACAUCAUACUAGCGCACUUUUAUCGCCUUUUUCAAAUGUCAACAAGAUAUAAAAUGUAUAUCGUUGUGCUUAUCAAAUAUGCAUAUUUCUAUAUACAUCCGAAAAGAAAACCUGUUUUUCUGUAUUGCAGUGUCAAAUAAGAAUAAGAAGGAGACAUUGGCAUCGACGUCAGAUGCGGCGGCAGCACCUCCACCGCCGAUUUCAAGAAAUACUGCAGAACGACGUGCUGCUGCUGCUUCAGGUGGUGGUACAAGGAAAGAACGAGCUGUAGAGGAUAUGCUUCGACUUGUUCAAGAGAAUCGAGAUCGGCAUGAUGUGAGUUUUCGAAUUUUAAAUUUUGUGUAAAAAACAGAGUUUGUUUUUUUCUCAUUUUUUGGGAAACUAUUAUCAAAAUUCCAACUUUAAAAAACCACAGGAAUAAAUUUUUUAAAUUUUAUUUUUCAUUAGACCUACCAACUUUUAAAAAAACUUGAAAAUACGAGACGAACAGCGAAAUCGCUGGCAUCUAGAUAAAUAUUUUAACAUUUGGAUUUUAAUAAAUUUAGGAAGUAGAGUAACGUUAAUAUUUUUUCUUUCCUUUCUGAAAAAAUUUGCAAAAAAUGUUCAAAUGGCUAAUUGGAAGAGAAAACCAUUUUAAACGUUUCCCAAAAAAAAUCUUUGAAUUUUGGCGAUAAACGUUCAGAUUUUUUUUUUGCAAAAUUGAAAAAAACAUUUUAUAAAAGGAAAUAAAAACUGAUUUAGAGGAAAUUUAGGAAUUCAGAAGUGUCGCUUUUGGGAAUUCUAAAUUUUGAAAUUUUGAAAAAAAACAUUUAAAUGACUGUUGAGAUUAGGCCAGAUCCAUUUUCCAAAUGGUUUUUCUUAAAAAUUUUUUGGCUUUUUUCGAUUUUCAAUUUCAAAAACUUUAAAUUUUCCCUCGAUAAUUUCCUAUUUCAGCAACAACAGAAGGACUAUGGCGAGUAUGUUCAGGCGAGAAUCCGACCGAAGGCUCCUGGUGGAGAAGUGAUUCGUGUUGCUCGGCAAGACUAUCGAAAUAGUAAGAUUAUUGUGACAGAUGGCGAUGCGAUUCGAAUUUCUCCACACAGAGAGGUUUGUUUUUAUUUUCAAGAUCUUCUGAAAAUUCUGAACAUUUUUCUGAAAAAAAUUUCUAAUUUUCCGUCAUUUUCAGUGCAAUUUACGAAAAAAAAACUAGAAUUGUGGAAUUUUUUUUCAUGUUUUGUAGAGAAAAAUUAUUUACAAUCAAAUUGUUUUAUGGUCCGACACCUACCAGGUUCUGUCCCUUUUUUUUCAUAGUGAGGUGCGCAACCCGGAAGAUGUCGGACCAUGGUAAACGAUAGCCACUCGAUGAAAUGAACGUUUUUUCUUCGCUAGAAAAACCCGAAUUUUUUUGAAUUUUGUUGCCUUUUUUUUUUUAGAUAAAAGUUAGUGUUUCGAAGAAAGCUUCCGUCAUUUUUCACAAAAAGCCACUCUUCCUGUGCUCCAUUUAAUGACCGCUAUAAAUCUUGAUUGAGCCCAUUAAACAAUUACGAUUACACUGAAACACUAUUUAUUUCAUUUUUUCAGGAAAUUGAGACAACAAUCGAAGAAACAACAUCACUUCAUAACGGACAUGACGAUGAAGCUGUCUAUGUGAAUACGACGAUUGGUGGAGCAGCACGGCCACCAUCACCGAAUGAGGGCCAAGAUUAUCAGAAUGCUGUUUUACGUAGGUUUUUUGAAUUAUUUUUUAAAAGGACUUUAAAAAGUCCUUCCACAAAAAACAUCAGCUGUGGAAAAAAUUAACAUUCUGGAAACUUUUUUGAUGAAAAAAUCGGAUUUUUUUAUUGAGAAAAAAUAAAUUUGAAAUAUUAAAAAAAAAUUAAAUUACCAACAAAAAAAAAUCCAAAGUAAAUCUUUUUCAAGCCAAUUUUUCCCCGAGAAAUCAGCAAAAACUGAAAUAAUUUGCAUAAAAUUUUGCUGCGAAUUCAUUAAUUUAUAUAUACUCGAAUAUAGCCCAAUAAAAAUUAAAAUCUUAAACAAAAAUAUUUCGGUAAUUUUUGUCUGAAUCUGUUUUUUAAAAUGCUGAAUCUGUUUUUUAAAAUGCAUAAUUUAAAAUGCUCACAUCUAGCCGCGUUUCUACCGUAACCUACCGUACCUCAUACGUAGACUAAGAUUUUACAAUAAUGGAAAUAUAUGUUUUAUUUUAACGAAAUUACAUAUCAGAUCAGUUUCAAACUUUUCAAAAUCUUGAGCCACUCUCCCUAAACUCUUAUUUUUCAGCUCUCAAGCAAGCGAAAGUCUCUUCGAAGAUUCAAAAUGUCGUAAAUGCACUUCAG
This 2777-nucleotide small RNA is filed under the name Caenorhabditis elegans. RNAcentral describes it as "Unclassified non-coding RNA F28B3.12". Lineage: Eukaryota; Metazoa; Nematoda; Chromadorea; Rhabditida; Rhabditidae. The record is from RNAcentral.